Molecule: ribosomal RNA, 429 nt
Filed under: uncultured bacterium
Lineage: Bacteria
Description: bacterial SSU rRNA
Rfam family: Bacterial small subunit ribosomal RNA
Source: RNAcentral
UGGGGAAUAUUGGACAAUGGGCGCAAGCCUGAUCCAGCAAUGCCGCGUGUGCGAUGAAGGCCUGCGGGUUGUAAAGCACUUUCGGUGGGGAAGAAAUUCCCAAAGCUAAUAUCUUUGGGAGCUGACGUUACCCACAGAAGAAGCACCGGCUAACCCUGUGCCAGCAGCCGCGGUAAUACAGGGGGUGCAAGCGUUAAUCGGAGUUACUGGGCGUAAAGGGCGCGUAGGCGGAUAUUUAAGUCGGAUGUGAAAUCCCUGGGCUUAACCUAGGAAUUGCAUUCGAUACUAUUUAUCUAGAGUAUGGUAGAGGAAAGUGGAAUUCUCGGUGUAGUGGUAAAAUACGUAGAUAUCGAGAAGAACACCAGUGGCGAAGGCGACUUUCUGGACCAAUACUGACGCUGAGGCGCGAAAGCGUGGGGAGCAAACAGG